Molecule: ribosomal RNA, 427 nt
Filed under: uncultured bacterium
Lineage: Bacteria
Description: bacterial SSU rRNA
Rfam family: Bacterial small subunit ribosomal RNA
Source: RNAcentral
UGGGGAAUUUUGGACAAUGGGCGCAAGCCCGAUCCAGCAAUGCCGCGUGCAGGAUGAAGGCCUUCGGGUUGUAAACUGCUUUUGUACGGAGCGAAAAGGUCUGCCCUAAUACGGUGGGCUCAUGACGGUACCGUAAGAAUAAGCACCGGCUAACUACGUGCCAGCAGCCGCGGUAAUACGUAGGGUGCGAGCGUUAAUCGGAAUUACUGGGCGUAAAGCGUGCGCAGGCGGUUAUAUAAGACAGGUGUGAAAUCCCCGGGCUCAACCUGGGACCUGCAUUUGUGACUGUAUAGCUAGAGUACGGUAGAGGGGGAUGGAAUUCCGCGUGUAGCAGUGAAAUGCGUAGAUAUGCGGAGGAACACCGAUGGCGAAGGCAAUCCCCUGGACCUGUACUGACGCUCAUGCACGAAAGCGUGGGGAGCAAACA